AAUGAACGCUGGCGGCAUGCCUAACACAUGCAAGUCGAGCGACCACACCGGGAGCUUGCUCCCCUGAGGUUGGCGGGGGACGGAUGGGUAACACGUGGAUAGCAUACCUCUAUGACUGGGGGAAUAACGGGGGAACAGUGCUAAUACUGGAUAAUAUAUCGUACCGGAUGGAUCACGAGUUAAAGACGGUUUUGGCGUGUGUAAUAGCCGAAUUCGCGUCGGAUUAGCUAGUUGGUAAGGUAACAGCUUACCAACGCUACGAUGCGUAGCCGAUCUGAGAGGGUGAUCGGCCACACUGGAACUGAGACACGGUCCAGACUCCUACGGGAGGCAGCAGUAGGGAAUCUUCCGCAAUGGGCGAAAGCCUGACCGAGCAACACCGCGUGAGUGAUGAAGGACUUCGGAUCGUAAAGCUCUGUUGUUAGGAAAGAACAAAAGUGUAUUUAACUAUGCACGUCUUGACGGUACCUAAAGAAAAAGCCACGGCUAACUACGUG
Molecule: ribosomal RNA, 497 nt
Filed under: uncultured bacterium
Lineage: Bacteria
Description: partial 16S ribosomal RNA
Rfam family: Bacterial small subunit ribosomal RNA
Source: RNAcentral